UUAAUUUGAUGUUCGUUUAAAAAUCGAUUCGGUACAGCUCACGUGCUGUGAAUCGGAGAUCGUAUACCUAUAUGGAGCACGAGACAAAGAUGGAGUAAAAAGGACAGACAAAGAGCUAUGCGUCGUUUAUCUCUACACGUGACAUACGUAUUGCUAUUGCAUUACAUUAUACCUACAUGUAUACGCUGCGUAUAUCGUAUAUCUUUCGGAGCUUCAACAAGUUUGUAACGCGUGCACUGCACCAUUAUCAGAAUGAUACGUGAAUAUCCGGGAAUAGGUGAACUCGGGGGUGAACCCAUGACGAGGAUUGCGCUACCUUUUCUAUCUUUGAUCAGCUGUUUCGAAGCUCUGUGCAGUGCGUCCAGUAUACUAGGAUCAUUUGGCUGUAGACUGAGCGCUUUACAGUAGGAAUGAAUAGCUGCAUUGAAUCGGAAAGUUUGUGACUCCACUUCCGCCUUGCGGUAAUAUCCCUGAAACAAAAAGAAACAAUGCAUAAUCAACAACGAUUUUACAAUAAAAUAACAAUCAUAUCGUAGUGAAACUAAAAUGGUUUUGUAUCUGAAAGUAUACGAAUAAAUUAUAGCCUUGGGGUUUUCAAAUUGUUCCAGAAUAA
Athalia rosae (coleseed sawfly) is the source of this 613-nucleotide long non-coding RNA. RefSeq lists it as uncharacterized. Lineage: Eukaryota; Metazoa; Arthropoda; Insecta; Hymenoptera; Athaliidae. The record is from RefSeq and is a predicted model, not a curated record. The transcript has 2 exons.